Non-coding RNA from Phrynosoma platyrhinos (Desert horned lizard), 72 nucleotides. The record is from the annotation of a GenBank genome assembly. NCBI's taxonomy places the organism in Eukaryota, Metazoa, Chordata, Lepidosauria, Squamata, Phrynosomatidae.
GUCAGUGUGGUGCUGUGGUUUGAAUGUUGGUCUAUAGCUCUGAAGACCAGUGUUCAAAUCCCUGCUCAGCCA